GGCUAGCUAGCUCAGUUGUUUAGAGCGUCGUGCUAAUAACGCGAAGGUCGUAGGUUCGAUCCCUGCGCAGGCCA
RNAcentral lists this transfer RNA (74 nucleotides) under Dermacentor silvarum. Its description in RNAcentral is "transfer RNA isoleucine (anticodon AAU)". It matches the Rfam family "tRNA". From Rfam's summary of the family: Transfer RNA (tRNA) molecules are approximately 80 nucleotides in length. Their secondary structure includes four short double-helical elements and three loops (D, anti-codon, and T loops). Lineage: Eukaryota; Metazoa; Arthropoda; Arachnida; Ixodida; Ixodidae. The record is from RNAcentral.